RNA transcript from Biomphalaria glabrata, 3717 nucleotides. RefSeq lists it as uncharacterized. The record is from RefSeq and is a predicted model, not a curated record. Lineage: Eukaryota; Metazoa; Mollusca; Gastropoda; Planorbidae. The transcript has 17 exons.
AAUAGAGCAAAUAUUUUUUUUGUUUUAAUGUUGUCAUUAUUUUUCAGUCAUUUUGCAGGAAACACUUUCCAUCCAUCCAUCCCAAUGGCACUACAGCCCAUGGAGGGCUUUAGCUGGCUUCAACACAUCCCUCCAUUCAGAUCUCUCCUUAGCCUUUUAUCUCCGUCACUAUCUGUGGGUCUUCAUACAAUUGAUAUAUCUCAUGUAUCUGCAUUAUUCAACACAUUCAGAGAGGAAGCAGCAGCUCAAACUUCAAAAUUUUUGAGUCUUUCAAUCUUGCUGUUGUCACGUUCUCCACUGUUGGCUAUGGAGAUGUUUCCUCUGACAUUUGGCUGGGCCGACUCUUAAUGAUUCUAACCAUUGCCCUGGCAUUUGUUUUUAUACCUAGCCAGAAUAGAGAUGUAAUUCUGCUGUGUCCCCUUGAGUUGGAAACCAGUAGGCAAGUCUUCUAAUAGAGGUCAUGUACAUCAAGGGAUCAGCACUAAAAGAUGUGGACCUGAUGUGGUGUCAAGCUGAUGAAGCUUUUGCUUGCUUCUUUUGGCUGUUCGUUUAACAAGACAAAGCACAUACUGAUCGUCAUACCAUUUUAAGAUCCUGGGAUGUGAAAGUCUUUGCACCGGACUGUCGUCAGUAUCUUUACCUCUUCCAUGCCGGCAAUAAAAUACAUCUGAAACUUGUUGGUGAGCCAUGGCAGCAGACGUAUAGAAGGCAUGCUGGGAAUGAAAUUCAUCACAUACAGCUGCAAAAAAGUAUUUUCAUUGGUAAUUAUGUGGGCUGCACAAGCCUCAGCUGAUGCUCACCAAAGGUCAGUGUAUGCAAGUAUAGUUUUGUACAUUGAUACAAUAGAUAAGCAGUUUUUAUGAUUGCUUUAUUAUAUUAAGCAGAUCCCUUUAAAAAAAAGUUACUUCAAAAUGUAUUGGCCCAUCAGUCAUGUGAAUAAUAAUGUUUUCAUAGCCAAAUGACAUAAUUAUAAAAAAAAGUUCCCCUUUCAGACCAUGGGGCUGAUGAUUUUCAUCUGUUUCUCUGGCCCAUGGUUAAAUAGGGUGUCAUGAGGCCAGCACAACAACCAACCACUAAACCCAAAGAUCCCAAAAUUAGAAAUUCGAGUCUUUGACAGGAUUUGAACCCGGGACCCCUGGUUCAGAUAGCUAAGUGCUUUACCACUCAGCUACUGCGCCUCCAAUUAACAAAAGAGCAUAGUAGCAGAAUCUUGUCUUGUUUUUCUAAGUACUAUUCAUGUGGCCUUGUUCUGAAUACGUUGCAUCUUUUGUCAUCAAGUAUACCUGCUAGCACGGCGUUGCAGUAGUCAAGGCGAGAGAGUAUGAAUGCCACAUCGGCGUUGUUCUGAAUACAUUGCAUCUUGGCUAUUUUGUCAUCAGGUAUACCUUCUAGCACGGCGUUGCAGUAGUCAAGGCGAGAGAGUAUGAAUGCCACAGCUAGCAUUUUUGUUGACUCAACACAUUUGGAUCUACUAGUGGACCUCUUUUAAUAGUUCAUUUCACAUAACACUUUUUCAUUAAUGUGGCUGUAGAGAGAUGUUCCUUUCCACAUGUGUCCCAGGUUAAGGUGACAUUUGGCAUGCUUUUUUUUCCAGAACUGAGGCAAAUCUUUUUCGCUGUCCAUACCUUUCUUGGUUACCAUUUCUUUACAUAGUGUGUACAUCUGGAACCUGUCGUGAAUUGUCCAUAAAAAUAACACUUGGUAUAUGAUUGUCCUGCAGGACCAAGCCAGCUCAGACGUCGUUGUCUGAGGAUUGUAAAGAUAUUUGGAAGACCAAUUUUAUCAAGUAACUUUAUAAAUGUUAUAAUAUCAUUAGCUCUUGGAAAUCCUAUGCCGAACUGGGAGUCGAACACUUAGUGAGGUUGUGACUGAACGUCGCAUGAGGUUUGCGGGACAUGUUCUACGUCAAAAUGAAUUACGCACACCAAGAGUUGCGAUAACAUGGAAGCCAAAACAAGGAAAGCGCAAACAGGGACGUCCUCGUAUUACCUGGCGACACACCUUCAUGGAGGACCUCAGAACAGUGGACACCAGGUGGGAGGAGGCUUCAGACAUUACCAGUGACAGAUCAUUAUGGAGACAGCUUGCCGCCCAAUGCGCUGAACGGCGCCGGAGGACCUAUGUCUAAAAUGUUGAGUCAGAUAUUGAAGCCAGAGCUUUGUAUCUAAGUCAAAGACCACUAGUAUUUGACAGUGUUUACAGAGGACAAGAUGUCCCAGCUCAGUCCAAAAUUCAUAAAGACUGUGUCUCAGCGAAGCAUAAGAGUUGGUCUUGGAUUCAAACAGUCAAUGAAUGUUUAGGCAUUCAUAGUGAAAAUACUGCUAACUAUCAUCAGUUCUACCAUGAUGUUUGCCACCUGGAAGAAGACAUGCUUUCAUUCUUGCUUUGGAUGGACAGUUCAACAGUUAGAGCUCAAGUCAAGACUCAAGAUCCUGAUGUCAUGUUAAAACAUUUCAGAUUAAUAAACAAUUGUUGGACUAUCAGGGCUAGUUAGAUCUUCUCACAGAGCGAAGUUGAGAUAUUCACCCAGUUCAUCACCGCCAGGAACUGCCAGAAUGGCAUUUGAAGGCUAGAGCUCUUGUCCAAUAUCAGCACAAACAUGUGUCAUUAGCAAAAGGAAACUUUGUCAAGAUUUUGGAAAAUUUUGAUGCUGAAAGAUGGAAGAUGGAAUAGAAAGUGAAGUCCCUGCUAUUGUGUUGGUCAUUCCUUCCUGCUUCCAACAGAUUGAUAAAUUAGGAGAACAAAUCAAGGUCAAUAGUUCUAUUGAUUGCUGCUGAUAAAUGGUCACAUUUAAUCCAGUUUUUAAGUGCUGCUAUUUCCCAGACACAGUCCAAAGAUUUAUGUUUUUCCUGCUGAAGAUGAUGAAUGAGGCAGCAGACAUCUUGAAAGGAGCUGAUUUCGAGUUCCUUCAACAGUCUUUUCAUUUUAUUUAGGAAGAAGCUCAUCAGUCACUUCAAACCAGGUGAUGAUGGAGUCAUAAACAGUAGGAUACAGAGGUGAAACAAAACUGGAGCUUUAGUUUGUUUGUUUGUAGAACUUGGCAUCUACUCCAGACAUUAUUCUGAAGAACACUCAAGUAAAAGAAAAGAAGAAAUGUUAAAGGUUAAGGACUUGGGCUCCAAUCAUACUUACACUUCAAAAGCUUUAAUUUGAAAGGUCUUAUAUUUUUGUGGAAAUAAAUUUUACUAGUGGAGUUUUUGUAGCUGCCAGAGUGGAUCAAGGUGGAUGUGAUAUCUAUUUAUAAACAUGUAUACCAGUAUAUUGUAAUCAGUGAUUUUCAUUUUCUGGUAACAGUUUGUUUCCAUUUAGAUUGCAGUCUUUCUUAUGUGAAAACAAGAUGUCUGCAUAAUCUUAGAGUACAUUUUUAAACUCAUUUAAAUUUAUUAGAUGAAAUAUUUAUAAAACAUACAAUGUAAAUUGUUUUGUAAAAUGAUUAUACAUUUGAGUUCAUAAAAAUGUGUAAUUUUUUAAUGGCAUCAUGUUUCUGCUUAUCUGUAUCUGAUACUGAUGAUUGUUUUCUAAAUCUAUUACUGCUUCACCAUUGAGGAAAAACUGCACAUGUUUAAAUCCAUAUCUGAAGUAACUUUCCAGAAAAAAAAAGAUCUAUGUAUGUAAGACAGUGUCCAAAAUUUCAAAUCAUUUCCUUCAAAAUGUUAUCAAUUUCCUCCAUAACUUCAUAACAUUAUUGAAUUUUUUCCUUCAGAACACAAUUGUAAA